Molecule: non-coding RNA, 417 nt
Organism: Vicia faba (fava bean)
Lineage: Eukaryota; Viridiplantae; Streptophyta; Magnoliopsida; Fabales; Fabaceae
Source: the annotation of a GenBank genome assembly
AUUAUUCUCUCCACUCCAAAAACCACUCACGCAUUCCUCACCCUCACUCCAACAAACUUAUUUCUCAAGUUUAUCCAAUCCACCUUUGAUCUUAUCCAUUCCCUCAACCAAUUUCCUCUUUUGCCCUCACUCUAUUCUUCCUAUAAAACAAGCCCCUCAUUCCUCUCAUUACACAUAACAAUGAUACCAUCAACCCAACAAUCACAUUCUUUACACAGUUUUACCCACAAUACACAAAAAAAAAUAGAAAGAAAAAACUCUAUGAUACAUUUUUCUGCAGAUCCAAAAUUACAUAGAAAACUCUCCCUCUCAUCAAACACACAAAAUCACAUAAAACACUCCAUUCCCUCAACCUUGAAACCACUAACCACUAACCUCACACUCCAUAAUCCAUUUAUGUUCAUAUUUUACACCUAA